Molecule: long non-coding RNA, 493 nt
Organism: Hipposideros armiger (great roundleaf bat)
Lineage: Eukaryota; Metazoa; Chordata; Mammalia; Chiroptera; Hipposideridae
Exons: 3
Source: RefSeq, a predicted model, not a curated record
UUUACUGCCAUGAUAUUUGAUUUAGAGUAUCUGUUUGUAAAAUACCAUUAAAAUCAAACCCAUUUCUUUCCACUUUUUCCAUGACAUGGUUUCUGAUUUACUGAUCCGUGUCUGUUUCAUCGACUCGGUAUGGGAGGAGAAAGUAGAGAACAUUGAGAAGUUGAGAUCCGAGCCAAGAGGAGCAGCUCUCUGUUUCAGUGAAAGGAACAGGCAAUCACCAAGGAGGGUCUGAGUCAGCAGGAAGAAUGGAUUGAAGGUAAAACUUCAACUACGUCACAGAGCCGAACUUGCCAUCUUCUGGAUUUUCUGAGUCAUCAGAAGCUUCAGUAUGUGAGCCAAUCCCAAGCCAAGAGAGAAAUAUGGGGAGAAUUUUGAAGGAGUACCACAAAGAAUGUUCAUCUAAAGACUCCUCUUCUGCUGUUUGCCAAUUUGAUCUCUUUUCUUAUUAUUUGGACAGUAAUUUCCACUACUAGAUUCAUUAGAAAUUAAGCAA